RNAcentral lists this ribosomal RNA (237 nucleotides) under uncultured bacterium. Its description in RNAcentral is "partial 16S ribosomal RNA". It matches the Rfam family "Bacterial small subunit ribosomal RNA", at positions 1264 to 1500 of the family's 1533-position model. The record is from RNAcentral.
GGAGCGAAUCUACCAAAAAUUGUCCCAGUUCAGAUUGCAGGCUGCAACUCGCCUGCAUGAAGUCGGAAUUGCUAGUAAUCGUGGAUCAGCAUGCCACGGUGAAUACGUUCCCGGGCCUUGUACACACCGCCCGUCACACCAUGGGAGUCGGUAACACCCGAAGCCUGUAGUCUAACCGCAAGGAGGACGCAGUCGAAGGUGGGAUUGAUGACUGGGGUGAAGUCGUAACAAGGUACC